Long non-coding RNA from Phyllopteryx taeniolatus (common seadragon), 2631 nucleotides. RefSeq lists it as uncharacterized. NCBI's taxonomy places the organism in Eukaryota, Metazoa, Chordata, Actinopteri, Syngnathiformes, Syngnathidae. The transcript is spliced from 2 exons. The record is from RefSeq and is a predicted model, not a curated record.
AUAUUUUGUUUACUGAGUAAAACAAUGUUUUGUUGUUGCUGUUUACCAGUAAUUAUGUCAUGGUCUGUCCCCUGCAGUUUGUUUUUUGGAACUUGGGUGGCGCGUUGUGCCUCGCCUUCCACAACACCCCUCUCUUUCUCUCUCUCCAGCAAUCAGCACCCCUCGCUUGCACACCUGUUCCCAAUCAGCACUCAUCACUGCCUGCAUUUAAGCCGGCCAAAUCCAGGAAUUCAACGCCAGAGUAUUGACGUUCAUCUGUGGUAUACAGGCCAACAUUCAUGUAAGUUACUCGACCUCCCGCAAUCAUACUUGCCCCCUUGUGUUCUUCUCUGCCUCCAGUGCUCCUUCUGUGUCUCCCGCCUCGCUGUCCGCUCCAGUCACGCCGCCAAACUAUUCCACCUUCCCAGUUCCAACGGACCACCAUCGCCCCUUGGAUAUCCUACCCACUCAUCAACCUUCUCCGCCUGCUUUUGGGUCCAGUCCUCCAUCAUACCAGUCUUGACAGAACUCUGGCCCAGCAACCCUUUAGACAUUGGGGAAAGCGCUCUCCCUCCAAAGCUCCCACACUGACAGACAAGACAAAGCUCUCCACAGAAUUAUGAACUCCUUACGUACCCUCUCCCAGCAAGUAUUUCUCAUAUCCUCCCAGAUGCACUUCGACAGCCCUCCUUUGCAUAUUCUUUCCGAGCCCGCACCCUCCUCCCAUACAAAAAGCCUCACGUCCCUCCUCCCGAACCCAACUCGAGGGACCUAGGUUCAUGUGGCCAAUUUCUUUUAAAUUGUCCCCUUGUUUUUUAUCUGCAACCGUUGACUUAUCCUUCGGAUAAAUCCAAAGUGGCAUUCAUUACUAACCUCCUACGCGGAAGAGCUGCGAAAUGGGUGACCACGCUCUGUCAUAAUUCGUCCCUGGUACUUGCUUCUUUCAACUUCAAGUGGUUAAAGAGGCUUAGAGGACGCAACCGGUUCCCAAGACUGGACCUCCAGACACUCACGCUCUGACAUCCUUCAAUGGGCCCAAAAUACCAAGCUCAUCUGUCAUCCUGGAAUCCUCCACACCAUCCAUUUCAUCCAACACCACUUCUGGUGGCCAAGCCUGGUUGAAGAUACCCAGGGGUUCGUCCGUACCUGCUCCGUCUGUGCCCGAGGUAAAAUGUCACAUCUGCCCCCAGCUGGUCUGCUGCAAUCCUUACCCAUCCCGAGCCGCCCUUGGUCCCACAUCGCCUUGGACUUUGUUACUGGCCUACCAUCCUCUGAAGGUAACACCAUCAUUCUUACCAUCAUUGAUAAUUUUUCUAAGAGUGUCCUUUACAUACCCCUUCCCAAGUUGCCCUCUGCCUUUGAGACUGCUAAUCUCCUAGUCCGACAUGGAUUUCAGCUCCAGGGCAUCCCCGUUGACAUCGUCUUGGCCUGAGGUCUGUAAGAUGGUGGGCGCAGCAGCCAGUCUGUCCUCUGGUUACCAUCCGCAAUCUAAUGGCCAGACGGAGCGGGCGAAUCAAAAUCUGGAGUCUGCCCUACGCUGCGUGGCUGCACGCAACCCCGCCUCCUGGAACACCUUUCUCCCAUGGGUGGAAUACGCCCAGAACUCCCUCACCAGCUCCGCCACAGAUAUGCCCUUUAUGGCUUGUUAUGGCUUCCAACCACCCCUCUUUAAGGAACAAAAGCACACUGUGGCGGUUCCGUCGGUGAGGGAGCGCCUACGACGUGUACAAUCCAUUUGGAAGGACGUCAGGUCGGACAGCUAAAAGAAACAAGCGGUUGGUGGAUCGCUCCCCCACGCCUGAAUACAAGGUGGGUCAGUCAGUUUGGCUCUUCUCCUGCGAUCUUCCUCUCGAGACCGAAUCGCGCAAGCUUUAUUGGUCCCUUUCCAAUCACUAAAAUUCUCAAUCUCACAUCGGUUCAGUUGAAGCUCCCUCAAUCUCUCAAGAUCCACCCAACAUUUCAUAGGUCUCUGCUCAAGCCCGUGUCCACUAGCACCCUCCAGCCCGCCCCACCCCCGUGUCAUUGACGAUCACCCUACCUUCACAGUGUCCUGCAUCCUGGAUGUGAGACCCAGGGGCAAGCGAUUCCAGUUUCUGGACGACUGGGAAGGGUAUGGUCCGGAAGAAUGCUUCUGGAUCUCUCGCAAAUUUUAGAUGACUCGUUAAUUAGGGACUUUUAUGCGGCACACCUUGAGAAGCCUGGGAGGGUGCCGGGAGAUGUCCAUUGAGGUGAUGGGGGGGGGGGGGGCUACUAUCAUGGUCUGUGUGCCCUGCAGUUCCUUUUUUGGAACUUGGGUGGCGCGUUGUGCCUCGCCUUCCACCCCCACCCCUCUUUCUACAGCAAUCAGCACCCCCUCGCCUGUGUACCUGUUCCCAAUCAGCACUCAACACUACCUGUACACCUAUGCCCAAUCAGCAUUCAUCACUGCCUGCAUUUAAGCCUGUCAGAUCCAGGAAUUCAACGCCACAGUAUUGACGUUCAUCCAUGUGCUCCUUCCAUGUCUCCCGACUCGCUGUCCGCUCCAGCCAUGCUCCCAAGCUAUUCCUCCUGCCCAGGCUCCCGCUUCCUACAGCUUCCCUGUUCCAACGGACGACCAUCGCCCCCCGGAUAUCCUACCCGCUAAUAAACUACUUAAUAAAUCAUUCUAAUCAA